UACGAAGGGGGCUAGCGUUGCUCGGAAUCACUGGGCGUAAAGCGUGCGCAGGCGGUUUUGUAAGCCAGAUGUGAAAUCCCCGGGCUUAACCUGGGAAUGGCAUUUGGGACUGCAAGGCUGGAGUUUGGCAGAGGAGACUGGAAUUCCUGGUGUAGCAGUGAAAUGCGUAGAUAUCAGGAGGAACACCGGUGGCGAAGGCGGGAUCCUGGGCCAGUACUGACGCUGAGGAGCGAAAGCGUGGGGAGCAAACAGG
This 253-nucleotide ribosomal RNA is filed under the name uncultured bacterium. RNAcentral describes it as "partial 16S ribosomal RNA". It matches the Rfam family "Bacterial small subunit ribosomal RNA", at positions 524 to 776 of the family's 1533-position model. The record is from RNAcentral.